Molecule: RNA transcript, 257 nt
Organism: Aplysia californica (California sea hare)
Lineage: Eukaryota; Metazoa; Mollusca; Gastropoda; Aplysiida; Aplysiidae
Exons: 2
Source: RefSeq, a predicted model, not a curated record
CCUCCUUUUCUGUCUGUAUAUCUAGCUCUGACCUCAACGACUACGCCCAGAAGUGGGCGGACCACCUGGUGAAGACGGGCAGCUUCCAGCACAGUGACGUCACGCUGAAGGGCACCAGGCUGGGAGAGAACAUCGCCAACAAGUGGUCGAGCUCGGGGGCCGACUACACAGGUGAGGAGGCGACCGAGCAGUGGUACAGUGAGAUCAGACAACACAACUUCAACUCGGAGAGCAACUCUGGCACAGGUACCACUGCA